GUUUAAUCGAAUGCCCUUAUUGACAUUCAUCGGGCAGGAAAUAGUAGAAGGGGAAGAGAGAAUAAUCAAUCGAUACUAAUUGGAAGGGGUCUGUGUAAAUUUGAAUCCAGGUAAAGCAGUGUGAAUACUUUCUGAAGGCACUGUAUAUCAAUAUGUGCGGAUAAAGAUAUUUCCACUGCUAUUUCUUGCAUAAUUAAUUUUAUACACUCAAAAUGUUCCCAUCAUGUCUAGCGUAUUUAGUUUUAUCAACAUCUGGAAAGUUUACCGUUAGAUUGGCUGUUUCCACCAGGCCUGCCUUGACAUUAUUUUAUCCGACAUGUACUUUAUUCACAUAAAAAGGUUAUUGGAACCAAUUACACUCACUGGAGUAUCUAACGUCUUUGAAAAAGCACCAGGGAAUUGAGCCACACAGUGGAAAGUGUCAUAAUACCCAUACAACCUAGCAGUCAAACAAGGAAAUGAUUCCAAUACUUUUUUCACCAUACAUUUGAUCCAUUGUGGCUUUUAGAAACACUUCAAAUCAAAUCACAAUUAAUUUGUCACAUGUGCCGAUACCACAGGUGUUGACCUUACAGUGAAAUGCUUACUUACCAACAAUGCAGUUUUAAGAAAAAAAGUAUUGCAGUAUUUACUGAAGUAAAACAUAAAUGAAAAAAAAAAAAUAAGAAAAAUAACAAAUAAUUAAGGAGCAACAAUAAAAUAACAGUAACAAGGCUAUAUACAGGGGGUACCGGUACAGAGUCCAUAUGGAGGCUAUAUACAGGGAGGUACCGGUACAGAGUCAAUGUGGAGGCUAUAUAGAGGGGGUACCGGUACAGUCAAUGUGGAGACUAUAUACAGGGGGUACAGAGUCAAUGUGGAGGCUAUAUACAGGGGGUACCGGUACAGAGUCAAUGUGGAGGCUAUAUACAGGGGGUACAGAGUCAAUGUGGAGGCUAUAUACAGGGGGUACCGGUACAGAGUCAAUGUGGAGGCUAUAUACAGGGGGUACCGGUACAGAGUCAAUGUGGAGGCUAUAUACAGGGGGUACCAGUACAGAGUCAAUGUGGAGGCUAUAUACAGGGAGGUACCGGUAUAGAGUCAAUGUGGAGGCUAUAUACAGGGGGUACAGAGUCAAUGUGGAGGCUAUAUACAGGGGGUACCAGUACAGAGUCAAUGUGGAGGCUAUAUACAGGGGGUACCGGUACUGAGUCAAUGUGGAGGCUAUAUACAGGGGGUACCGGUACUGAGUCAAUGUGGAGGCUAUAUACAGGGGGUACCAGUACCG
Molecule: long non-coding RNA, 1267 nt
Organism: Oncorhynchus tshawytscha (Chinook salmon)
Lineage: Eukaryota; Metazoa; Chordata; Actinopteri; Salmoniformes; Salmonidae
Source: Ensembl